AUAGUUAAAUUUAAAUAUAUUCCUAUAUUGGCCAAUGUAAUGCAGGACAUUACAAUUAAUCAUGCGACCGACAUUUUCUAUUGUGUCUUUUGAGUGUCCUGAUGUCGGGAAAAUGAUAAUACACAACGCAAUAAUCAUUUGUCUGUGAAAAAGGUCCAGACACUGUCGGCGGCCAGGACUC
Molecule: long non-coding RNA, 181 nt
Organism: Drosophila serrata
Lineage: Eukaryota; Metazoa; Arthropoda; Insecta; Diptera; Drosophilidae
Source: RefSeq, a predicted model, not a curated record